UACGGAGGAUGCGAGCGUUAUCCGGAUUUAUUGGGUUUAAAGGGUGCGUAGGCGGUCCGUUAAGUCAGCGGUAAAAUUGCGGGGCUCAACCUCUUCCCGCCGUUGAAACUGGUGGUCUUGAGUGGAUGAGAAGUACGCGGAAUGCGUGGUGUAGCGGUGAAAUGCAUAGAUAUCACGCAGAACUCCGAUUGCGAAGGCAGCGUACCGGCAUCCAACUGACGCUGAGGCACGAAAGCGUGGGGAUCAAACAGG
RNAcentral lists this ribosomal RNA (252 nucleotides) under uncultured bacterium. RNAcentral describes it as "partial 16S ribosomal RNA". It matches the Rfam family "Bacterial small subunit ribosomal RNA", at positions 524 to 776 of the family's 1533-position model. The record is from RNAcentral.